This 276-nucleotide ribosomal RNA is filed under the name Triticum aestivum (bread wheat). Its description in RNAcentral is "partial small subunit ribosomal RNA". The record is from RNAcentral. Lineage: Eukaryota; Viridiplantae; Streptophyta; Magnoliopsida; Poales; Poaceae.
AUGGAGAAGUGCAGAUCGGUGCCGCACGAGCACGCCACGGCGGCGUACUAUGGGUGCGGCGGCGGGUACGACUACGAGGACGUGAGCCGGGGCACGUCGGUGAAGUCGUACAGCUUCAACGGCCCCAGCGCCGGCGAGGACCCGGAGGCGAAGCGGCGGCGGCGGGUGGCGUCCUACAACGUGUUCGCGUCGCAGGCCCGGCUCAAGUCCUCCGUCCGCGGCAGCUUCAAGUGGCUCAAGUCCAAGCUCUCCGACGUCCGCUACGGUGGCCUCUGA